GUCUACAGCCAUGCCACCCUGAACACGCCCAAUCUUGUCUGAUCUCAAAAGCUAAGCAGGGUCGAGCCUGGUUAGUAUUUGGAUGGGAGACCACCUAGGAAUACUAGGUGCCAUAGGCU
RNAcentral lists this ribosomal RNA (119 nucleotides) under Pteropus alecto (black flying fox). Lineage: Eukaryota; Metazoa; Chordata; Mammalia; Chiroptera; Pteropodidae. The record is from RNAcentral.